RNAcentral lists this transfer RNA (84 nucleotides) under Dermacentor silvarum. RNAcentral describes it as "transfer RNA leucine (anticodon CAG)". It matches the Rfam family "tRNA". Rfam says of the family: Transfer RNA (tRNA) molecules are approximately 80 nucleotides in length. The record is from RNAcentral. Lineage: Eukaryota; Metazoa; Arthropoda; Arachnida; Ixodida; Ixodidae.
GUCAGGAUGGCCGACCGGUCUAAGGCGCUGCGUUCAGGUCGCAGUCCGGUCUUCCGGGCGUGGGUUGGAAUCCCACUUCUGACA